GGGACACACUGCUAAGGCUCACACCAUGCGGAUGAACAGACUCGAGCCUUGGUUCCACAUUUUGCAUAUGGGGAAACCAAAUCCUGGAAAAGGCCCAAGCUGGGUCAUGCUGUUCCAUGUAUCAAGAGAGACAAGCAGGGAAGGAGGCACAGAGAAGCCUGGAGCUGGCAGAGGGUGACCCCAAGUGCUUCCACACCUCUGACAUGGGGACUGCAUGAACCUUUGAAAGAAAGCCUGAGGGAAACUAAACUCUCAGUACUGGUCCUGAGAACUCCACAGGACGGUAGGACAGGCCUGGGGCAUCUUAGUCCUAGCCAGUGUCAGGACUAAGAACUGUAUACUACAUCCCCUUAGGCUAGCUGCUUAAGUUACUGUAGAAUAAUAGUUAACUCCCUCAGAGUCAGGACAGGGUGCUGAAGGAAGGUCUCCACACUCCUGGCUUAGAUUUUCCAAGAUCUGAGACCCAGGGAUGUGGAGGGUUUUUCACACAGGUGGAAGAUUCUAUGUGCACAGCAGGAGGGGAGGGGAACGGGCUUCCAACUUGGUGGGGUAGUGCUAGUUUGCCUUCCAAGCAAAUCUCUAGAAAUACCUAGAAAGUCCCGGCUGGUGACUCCCAGGCUACCACAAACAGAACUUCUUUUUUUUUUUUGGUUUUUCAAGACAGGGUUUCUCUGUGCAGUCCUGGCUGUCCUGGAACUCACUUUGUAGACCAAGCUGGCCUUGAACUCAGAAAUCCACCUGCCUCUGCCUCCCAAGUGCUGGUAUUAAAGGCGUGUGCCACCACUGCCCGGCUCAAACAGAACUUCUAAAGUGGGUCCCACUAACUCUUGCUUCCAUGAGGGGCCGGUGGGGAGCAGGUUAAGCUCUAGAUGCACAGGGAAUAAUGUCACUGCAUCGGGAGCCUCCCAGGAGUCCCUUCACACUUAGAAUCAAGUCCAAAGUCCUCGGCAUGACCGGAGCCCCCCUAGAUGGCUUCUCUCUCUCCUUCUCAUGGCCUUUCCUGUCCCAGUCGCAGUUUCUCAAACUUGCUAAGCAUAUUUCCAUCGUGGGACCAUCGUGGAGCUAGCUCGGGCUUUUAAAAACCCAAAGGGCACCCAAUCCUUCCCAAAAUAUUUCUACCAACUAGGGACCAAAUAUUCAAAUAUAUAAGCCUAUGGGGCCCUUUCUCAUUGAAACCACCACAAGAAUCAGAGAGUGUACUUUAGUUAGGGAUUUCAUGUGGCUUCCUGAUCAAUUGCCAGUGCCCAAAAUACACCGGACACAGGAGUGGCAUCUAAAAAGUUGGCUGGUGGCUUUAGGAGGCGGCAGCCGGAAGUAGGGUAAAAGUGGGAGUGACAAGUGCUUCUGGGUGAAAGAAGAGACACAGAGCUUAAAUAAGCAAAUGUGAAAUAAUAUAAAUGGUAAACAAACACUUCCCGGGCUGCCACCCUCAGAAAAGCACCAAGCCCAUGAAGGUUUACAGGUGUUUCUAACAAACCUCUGAAAACCUUGGGGGAGGGCGGGGGAGGAUGCUCUAUUAGGAGGAGAAUAAGAACGGGCACACCUCAUGAACAAGAUGCCUUUCAAGCAAACCUCAAAGGAGGACAGGCAUGAAGCACAGCAGUAAGAACUUGGGGUCUCCCAGGGAACCAUAUGCAGUGUCACUUCUGUGACAAUGGUGCCUACUCUAGAAAUAUCUUUUUCCAUCUGGCCUCUGUGUCUUCUCUGUUCAUCUCCAUCGCCCAACAUUCUCCAUCGGCCUGGUCACUGAAUUGCAAAGUGAGUAUCCCACAAACGUCAGCCACUGUUGGACGGUGUCUAUAGGUCUAUUUCUGGCUAAAAAAGCAAGCCAGGAAUUGCAUUUCCCUCAUCCUGGUAUCUUUGAUGCCUGAAAACACUCAAAGGCUCAAGGCAGCCGACUGUUAAGAGCUGGCGCUGCGGAUGCACAAGCAAUGGUCUGUGAUGCCUGUUUGCAGCCAUCCUUAAACAUGUACAAUGAGCUCAGGUGGCAGGGCCUCGGGGAAGCUUUCUCGGGCUCCUUCUUUCUCAGGCAAGAAGAAGGUGAGCAAAAGAAGUCACGCUUCCUCUCCAGUGAGGCUGAGGGGCACCUGAAAGGACACAUCUGUCUACGUACUCUCUGUGAAGUUCAGUGUGAGGUGGUGGGGUCUGGACAACAUAGUAAGAAACAAGGAAGCAAGGCUGGCAUCUCCAGCAGCCUAGAAACUGAGCUGAGGGAGAAGAACGAAGGGUGGAAGAGUGCAGACUCUCCCUUCCACACCCACAAGGGCCCAGACAGCCCUGCUUCACCCCCAACUACAGCCGUUCAUCAAACAAGGCUGAGAAACCCGUCGUCACGGCUCUAGGGCUGGGCUGUGCCCUCCAUCUCCUCAUCAGCACUCAGACUCAGAUCAACCACUGCCAGGUCCAUGAGGCUGGGGAAUAGCUGAGACCGUCCAGGCCAUGGAUACAGCACAGCAUGGAUCCUAAUGGGACCCCUGCUGUGGACAUGGAGACCUGCAGGUUCAUAUCAGAGCUGCUGAGAGGCACCUCUGAAGUCAGCAGAUAAAACCGUUCUGCAGCAUAAACAGAUCCUCUGGUCAGGAGAAAGGGAGCUGGGAGGUCUGCAGUCCUGGACACGUACCUACGGCUGUGUAAAACAGCACGUGCGUGGGUGAGCGCGCGUGCACACACACACACACACACACACACACACACACACACAAAUAAUGGUUCAGUCAAUAACCAUUCACUACCUCACACUGUUUCUGCUGAUUAAGAAAACUAGAGUGGGGCUGGCAAGAUGGCUCAGUGGGUAACAGCACUGACUGCUCUACCAAAGGUCCUGAGUUCAAAUCCCAGCAAUCACAUGGUGACUCACAACCAUCUGUAAUGGAAUCUGACGCCCUCUUCUAGUGUGUCUGAAGUCAGCUACAGUGUACUUAUGUAUAAUAAUAAAUCUUUGGGCCGGAGUGAGCAGGGACUAAGCGAGUAGAGUUGACUGGAGCGAGCGGGGCCAACUGGAGCGAGCAGGGGUCCUAAAAAUUCAAUUACCAACAAUCAUAUGAAGGCUAACAACCAUCUGUACAGCUACAGUGUACUCACACACAUAAAAUAAAUAAAUAUUUAAAA
Mus musculus (house mouse) is the source of this 3108-nucleotide long non-coding RNA. RefSeq annotates it as phosphatidylinositol transfer protein, membrane-associated 2, opposite strand 2. The transcript has 2 exons. Lineage: Eukaryota; Metazoa; Chordata; Mammalia; Rodentia; Muridae. The record is from RefSeq and is marked validated.